This is a non-coding RNA of Heterocephalus glaber (naked mole-rat), 254 nucleotides long. The record is from RefSeq and is a predicted model, not a curated record. NCBI's taxonomy places the organism in Eukaryota, Metazoa, Chordata, Mammalia, Rodentia, Bathyergidae.
GGCCGACCGGGCCUAAAGAGGAGUUCGCGGUCCGGGUACCAGCGCUCUGUGGCCAGGAGGAAAAUGGAUGCAAUGGCUGGAAUUCCAAUGCCAUAUUGGACUACAAGGAUCCUUGAGGCAUGGAAGCCAUGCAUACCAGGCCCGAAGACUGAAGGAGCCUGCGUCUCCAGUGCUUGGAGUACAGGCCUUUCCCAGGUGGCCAUCCUCAGACUUUUCAUUGUAAGAGAAAAAAACAACUCACUUUGAGGCCAUUA